Non-coding RNA from Pangasianodon gigas (Mekong giant catfish), 72 nucleotides. Lineage: Eukaryota; Metazoa; Chordata; Actinopteri; Siluriformes; Pangasiidae. The record is from the annotation of a GenBank genome assembly.
GCAGUGGUGGCUCAAUGGCUAAGGCUCUGGGUUAUGGAUCAGAAGUUUGGGGUUCAAGCCCCAGCCCCACCA